This 139-nucleotide ribosomal RNA is filed under the name bacterium. RNAcentral describes it as "partial 16S ribosomal RNA". It matches the Rfam family "Bacterial small subunit ribosomal RNA", at positions 338 to 497 of the family's 1533-position model. The record is from RNAcentral.
CCUACGGGAGGCAGCAGUGGGGAAUAUUGGACAAUGGGCGCAAGCCUGAUCCAGCCAUGCCGCGUGAGUGAUGAAGGUCUUAGGAUUGUAAAGCUCUUCACCGAGAAGAUAAUGACGGUAUCCGAGAAAAAGCNCNNNC